RNAcentral lists this microRNA precursor (171 nucleotides) under Paramuricea clavata. Lineage: Eukaryota; Metazoa; Cnidaria; Anthozoa; Malacalcyonacea; Plexauridae. The record is from RNAcentral.
ACGAAUAUGUUCGCCACCACAGAAACAUAACUAAAUAUAUUGUAUUUAUUGUAUUUUUAUGAUUUAUGACAAAACUACGCAAAUAGUAUUUAUUGUUUUUAUUAUAAAUCAUAAAAAUACAAUAAAAUACAAUAUAUUUAGUUAUGUUUCUGUGGUGGCGAACAUAUUCGU